AUUGAACGCUGGCGGCAUGCCUUACACAUGCAAGUCGAACGGCAGCGCGGACUUCGGUCUGGCGGCGAGUGGCGAACGGGUGAGUAAUACAUCGGAACGUACCCUGUUGUGGGGGAUAACUAGUCGAAAGAUUAGCUAAUACCGCAUACGACCUGAGGGUGAAAGUGGGGGACCGCAAGGCCUCACGCAGCAGGAGCGGCCGAUGUCUGAUUAGCUAGUUGGUGGGGUAAAGGCCCACCAAGGCGACGAUCAGUAGCUGGUCUGAGAGGACGAUCAGCCACACUGGGACGGAGACACGGCCCAGACUCCUACGGGAGGCAGCAGUGGGGAAUUUUGGACAAUGGGGGCAACCCUGAUCCAGCAAUGCCGCGUGUGUGAAGAAGGCCUUCGGAUUGUAAAGCACUUUUGUCCGGAAAGAAAUCGCGCUGGUUAAUACCUGGCGUGGAUCACGGUACCGGAAGAAUAAGCACCGGCUAACUACGUGCCAGCCGCCACGGUAA
This 500-nucleotide ribosomal RNA is filed under the name uncultured bacterium. RNAcentral describes it as "partial 16S ribosomal RNA". It matches the Rfam family "Bacterial small subunit ribosomal RNA", at positions 30 to 523 of the family's 1533-position model. The record is from RNAcentral.